RNAcentral lists this long non-coding RNA (471 nucleotides) under Homo sapiens (human). Its description in RNAcentral is "HSALNT0325250". Lineage: Eukaryota; Metazoa; Chordata; Mammalia; Primates; Hominidae. The record is from RNAcentral.
AUUCUACAUACCACCAAGGACUGUGGGUCGUCCGACCAUGAGACAUUUCCAGACUUUUCCAAAAAAAAAAAGAUGUUUUCACUGGAUACUCACAGAAAAGAAGCUUAUGAAUCAACGUAAACUACAACAAAAUAAAUGCACACAUUUUAGCACAUCUCUAUUGACUUUUCUGUUUGCACAGUUUGAUGAGGCAGGAUACCAUGCUGUGGAGACCCAUUUGGCAAGAAACUAAAGGCAGCCACCAUCCAAAUGCUAGGAAAAAGCUACAGCUUUCUGUCUGAUGGCAAAGGAGACACUGAAUCCAGUCAACAAUAACAGGAGUUUGAUGGAAGAUCCAUUCCCCAGUGGAGCCUCAGAUAACACCUCAAGUCUGGCCAACAUUCUGACUGUAAACUUAUGAGAGACCCUGAAGCAGAGAAUUCAGCUAAUCCAUGCCUGGGUUUCUGACUCUCAAAAAUUCUGAGAUAAUAA